This 633-nucleotide ribosomal RNA is filed under the name uncultured bacterium. Its description in RNAcentral is "bacterial SSU rRNA". It matches the Rfam family "Bacterial small subunit ribosomal RNA", at positions 8 to 603 of the family's 1533-position model. The record is from RNAcentral.
AGAGUUUGAUCCUGGCUCAGGACGAACGCUGGCGGCGUGCCUAACACAUGCAAGUCGAACGGAGAUAUUAAUGAAGCUUGCUAUUUAAUAUCUUACGGGCGAACAGCUGAUUAACACGCGGGCAAUCUGCCCAUAAUAGCCUUACAACAGGUGGAAACUACUGCUAUAUACCCCAUAUGGUGACCAAUCAUUAUAAGAAGCCUCUUAACACACGCUUCCGCUUAUGGCAUGAGCCCGCGUCUGAUUAGCUAAGUGGUGGGGCCAACAGCCUACCAAGGCGACGAUCACUAUGCGAGGAUGAUAGGGUCAACGGCCACACUGGACACUGACACACACUCCCACAGUCCUACGGGAGGCAGCAGUGUUGGAAUAUUGCGCAAUGGCGGAUACCCUGACGCAGCGACACCGCGUGAGCGAUGAAGGCCUUANGGCUGUAUAGCUCUGGUUUAUGGGGACCAAUGUCACAGGGAGUAACAUGUCCUGUACUAUGACGGAGCCCUAAGAGGAAACCCCGGGCUGACUACGUGCCGAGCAGCCGUCGCUAAGACGUAGGGGGGCCCAGCGGUGGGCCCGUAAUUACUGGGACGGUAAAAACCCCGUAGGCCGGAGACUCAAAGUCGGGGGGGGAAAGAC